AAGGAGUCUAACAUGUAUGCGAGUAUUUGGGUGUCAAGCCCUUGUGCGUAAUGAAAGUGAACGGAGGGAUAUUUGCACCAUCGACCGGCCUGGAUUUCUUUGAAAGAUCCGAGUAAGAGCAUGCAUGCUGGGACCCGAAAGAUGGUGAACUAUGCCUGAAUAGGGUGAAGCCAGAGGAAACUCUGGUGGAGGCUCGUAGCGAUUCUGACGCGCAAAUCGAUCGUCAAAUUUGGGUAUAGGGGCGAAAGACUAAUCGAACCAUCUAGUAGCUGGUUCCCUC
This 280-nucleotide unclassified non-coding RNA is filed under the name uncultured fungus. Its description in RNAcentral is "partial contains 5.8S rRNA, ITS2 and 28S rRNA". It matches the Rfam family "Eukaryotic large subunit ribosomal RNA", at positions 668 to 961 of the family's 3401-position model. The record is from RNAcentral. Lineage: Eukaryota; Fungi.